This 272-nucleotide ribosomal RNA is filed under the name uncultured bacterium. RNAcentral's name for it is "partial 16S ribosomal RNA". It matches the Rfam family "Bacterial small subunit ribosomal RNA", at positions 83 to 353 of the family's 1533-position model. The record is from RNAcentral.
GUUUGAUGGCGACCGGCGCACGGGUGAGUAACACGUAUCCAACCUGCCGAUGACUCGGGGAUAGCCUUUCGAAAGAAAGAUUAAUACCCGAUGGCAUAGUUCUUCCGCAUGGUAGAACUAUUAAAGAAUUUCGGUCAUCGAUGGGGAUGCGUUCCAUUAGGUUGUUGGCGGGGUAACGGGCCCACCAAGCCUUCGAUGGAUAGGGGUUCUGAGAGGAAGGUCCCCCACAUUGGAACUGAGACACGGUCCAAACUCCUACGGGAGGCAGCAUG